CAUGUGGAUUCUUGAUGUGGUUCUUGAUUAGUUUCUUUCUUGUUUUCUUGUUUUUUUUUCCGAAUUUUAGUGACGCUUCUUGAUCUCUAGUUUUGUUUUGUUGUUAUUUGGACUCUAGAGACGUUCUUGAUUUCUAUGGGUUUUGAUUUUUGUCUGUAUUCUUGAUAUGGUUCCUGGUUACUUGAUUAUUCGUUUCUUAGUAUCUUGUCUUUUUCUUGGAUUUUACUGGCGGUUCUUGAUUUAUACUUUGGUUACAAUGUUCUUUGGAUUCUUGUUUUCGGUUUCGGUUGGUUCUUAUCUAUAGUCUGGUUCUUGGUUAUUUGGUUCAUUAAAAUUCUUUGAGGUUUUGGUGAUUUAUUUUUGUUGCUGGAAUUUGAACCCGAGGGUGACUGCUGACCGAGGAGGAGGAGCUCCGGCUGGCUUGGCAGUGGAUGGCUGUCUCC
RNAcentral lists this long non-coding RNA (443 nucleotides) under Phoenix dactylifera (date palm). Its description in RNAcentral is "long non-coding RNA (PDAC_LNC003846)". Lineage: Eukaryota; Viridiplantae; Streptophyta; Magnoliopsida; Arecales; Arecaceae. The record is from RNAcentral.